UGGGGAAUUUUGGACAAUGGGGGCAACCCUGAUCCAGCAAUGCCGCGUGUGUGAAGAAGGCCUUCGGGUUGUAAAGCACUUUUGUCCGGAAAGAAAACGUCGUGGUUAAUACCCGUGGCGGCUGACGGUACCGGAAGAAUAAGCACCGGCUAACUACGUGCCAGCAGCCGCGGUAAUACGUAGGGUGCAAGCGUUAAUCGGAAUUACUGGGCGUAAAGCGUGCGCAGGCGGUCCGCUAAGACAGAUGUGAAAUCCCCGGGCUUAACCUGGGAACUGCAUUUGUGACCGGCGGGCUAGAGUAUGGCAGAGGGGGGUAGAAUUCCACGUGUAGCAGUGAAAUGCGUAGAGAUGUGGAGGAAUACCGAUGGCGAAGGCAGCCCCCUGGGCCAAUACUGACGCUCAUGCACGAAAGCGUGGGGGAGCAAACAGGAUUAGAUACCCUGGUAGUCCACGCCCUAAACGAUGUCAACUAGUUGUCGGGUCUUCAUUGACUUGGUAACGUAGCUAACGCGUGAAGUUGACCGCCUGGGGAGUACGGUCGCAAGAUUAAAACUCAAAGGAAUUGACGGGGUCAUAGC
Molecule: ribosomal RNA, 578 nt
Filed under: uncultured bacterium
Lineage: Bacteria
Description: partial 16S ribosomal RNA
Rfam family: Bacterial small subunit ribosomal RNA
Source: RNAcentral